CCUACGGGAGGCAGCAGUGAGGAAUAUUGGACAAUGGAGGCAACUCUGAUCCAGCCAUGCCGCGUGCAGGAAGACUGCCCUAUGGGUUGUAAACUGCUUUUAUACAGGAAGAAACACCUCUACGUGUAGAGAUUCGACGGUACUGUAAGAAUAAGGAUCGGCUAACUCCGUGCCAGCAGCCGCGGUAAU
This 189-nucleotide ribosomal RNA is filed under the name uncultured bacterium. Its description in RNAcentral is "partial 16S ribosomal RNA". It matches the Rfam family "Bacterial small subunit ribosomal RNA", at positions 338 to 524 of the family's 1533-position model. The record is from RNAcentral.